Haliotis rubra (blacklip abalone) is the source of this 101-nucleotide long non-coding RNA. RefSeq lists it as uncharacterized. NCBI's taxonomy places the organism in Eukaryota, Metazoa, Mollusca, Gastropoda, Lepetellida, Haliotidae. The transcript has 3 exons. The record is from RefSeq and is a predicted model, not a curated record.
UGCAAUACUAUUGCAGUAGUCUUGUUCUCCUUGAAUUGUCUCUUUUGAAGUCAUUUCCCAAAUGACAGUAUAGUUUAUAUGAAGUAAAAAAAAGUUGAAAU